Molecule: ribosomal RNA, 482 nt
Filed under: uncultured bacterium
Lineage: Bacteria
Description: partial 16S ribosomal RNA
Rfam family: Bacterial small subunit ribosomal RNA
Source: RNAcentral
AUUGAACGCUGGCGGCAUGCUUUACACAUGCAAGUCGAACGGUAACAGGCCGCAAGGUGCUGACGAGUGGCGAACGGGUGCGUAAUGCAUCGGAACGUGCCCAGUCGUGGGGGAUAACUACUCGAAAGAGUAGCUAAUACCGCAUACGAUCUAUGGAUGAAAGCGGGGGACCGUAAGGCCUCGCGCGAUUGGAGCGGCCGAUGUCAGAUUAGGUAGUUGGUGGGGUAAAGGCUCACCAAGCCAACGAUCUGUAGCUGGUCUGAGAGGACGACCAGCCACACUGGGACUGAGACACGGCCCAGACUCCUACGGGAGGCAGCAGUGGGGAAUUUUGGACAAUGGGCGCAAGCCUGAUCCAGCAAUACCGCGUGCAGGAAGAAGGCCUUCGGGUUGUAAACUGCUUUUGUACGGAACGAAACGGCUCUGGUUAAUACCCGGGGCUAAUGACGGUACCGUAAGAAUAAGCACCGGCUAACUACGUG